This 200-nucleotide ribosomal RNA is filed under the name uncultured bacterium. RNAcentral describes it as "partial 16S ribosomal RNA". It matches the Rfam family "Bacterial small subunit ribosomal RNA", at positions 28 to 242 of the family's 1533-position model. The record is from RNAcentral.
GAUGAACGCUAGCGGCAGGCUUAAUACAUGCAAGUCGAGGGGGCAGCAAUGUCACCGGCGGACGGGUGCGUAACGCGUAUGAAACCUACCUUUAUCAGGGGGAUAGCCCGGGGAAACCCGGAUUAAUACCGCAUAAUAUGUUGAAUGGCAUCAUUUGAUAUUGAAAGAUUUAUUGGAUAGAGAUGGUCAUGCGUAGGAUU